GCAGGAGUCCCCGCCGGAUUCGCCGGCGCCGCCCGAGGAGGACCCUGCCACAGCGGCCCCCAACACAACCGCCGAGGACUAUGACGGCAGCGCGGGCGCCGGUAGUUCGCGCGCCCCGCCGCCGCGGCCGCGGCCUUCGGCGCUAGCCGCGCCCUCGACCUCCGUAGCCCCGGCGGCGGCGAAGGCCAAGGUCCGGCCCCAUAAGGAGCAGGAUGACGACGACGACGAGGAAGACCCCAUGGAGGUCGACCUCGACAAGCUGCCUUCCGGCACCAGCGAUCCCGACAAGCUCGCCAAGAUGAAUGCUUUGUUAUCCCAAUUUACAGAAGAUCAGAUGAACCGGUAUGAGUCAUUCCGGAGAUCUGGAUUUCAGAAAUCUAACAUGAAAAAGCUAUUGGCGAGUAUCACUGGCAGUCACUGA
This 421-nucleotide ribosomal RNA is filed under the name Triticum aestivum (bread wheat). Its description in RNAcentral is "partial small subunit ribosomal RNA". Lineage: Eukaryota; Viridiplantae; Streptophyta; Magnoliopsida; Poales; Poaceae. The record is from RNAcentral.